This 66-nucleotide transfer RNA is filed under the name Sphaeroderma testaceum. RNAcentral describes it as "tRNA-Arg". The record is from RNAcentral. Lineage: Eukaryota; Metazoa; Arthropoda; Insecta; Coleoptera; Chrysomelidae.
GAAUAAGAAGCAAUUGAUGCAUUUAGUUUCGACCUAAAAAAUUGAUUUUUUAAAAAUCCUUAUUUU